UACGUAGGUGGCGAGCGUUGUCCGGAAUUACUGGGCGUAAAGCGUGCGCAGGCGGUUUUGUAAGCCAGAUGUGAAAGCCCCGGGCUUAACCUGGGAAUGGCAUUUGGGACUGCAAGGCUGGAGUGUGGCAGAGGAGACUGGAAUUCCUGGUGUAGCAGUGAAAUGCGUAGAUAUCAGGAGGAAUACCGAUGGCGAAGGCAGGUCUCUGGGCUGACACUGACGCUCAUGCACGAAAGCGUGGGGAGCAAACAGG
RNAcentral lists this ribosomal RNA (253 nucleotides) under uncultured bacterium. RNAcentral's name for it is "partial 16S ribosomal RNA". It matches the Rfam family "Bacterial small subunit ribosomal RNA", at positions 524 to 776 of the family's 1533-position model. The record is from RNAcentral.